CCUACGGGUGGCAGCAGUGGGGAAUAUUGCACAAUGGGGGAAACCCUGAUGCAGCGACGCCGCGUGAGUGAAGAAGUAUUUCGGUACGUAAAGCUCUAUCAGCAGGGAAGAAAAUGACGGUACCUGACUAAGAAGCCCCGGCUAACUACGUGCCAGCAGCCGCGGUAAUACGUAGGGGGCAAGCGUUAUACGGAUGUACUGGGUGUAAAGGGAGCGUAGACGGCAGCGCAAGUCUGGAGUGAAAUCCCAUGGCUUAACCAUGGAACUGCUUUGGAAACUGUGCAGCUAGAGUGCAGGAGAGGUAAGCGGAAUUCGUGGUGUAGCGGUGAAAUGCGUAGAUAUUAGGAGGAACGCCAGUGGCGAAGGCAGCUUACUGGACUGUAACUGACGUUGAGGCUCGAAAGCGUGGGGAGCAAACAGGAUUAGAUACCCGUGUAGUC
This 440-nucleotide ribosomal RNA is filed under the name uncultured bacterium. Its description in RNAcentral is "partial 16S ribosomal RNA". It matches the Rfam family "Bacterial small subunit ribosomal RNA", at positions 338 to 795 of the family's 1533-position model. The record is from RNAcentral.